Molecule: long non-coding RNA, 289 nt
Filed under: Mustela putorius furo (domestic ferret)
Lineage: Eukaryota; Metazoa; Chordata; Mammalia; Carnivora; Mustelidae
Description: lncRNA (ENSMPUG00000023866.1)
Source: RNAcentral
CCAAAAUUCAACAUGCCCUUUGGGAUUUAACCUCUGCAGGCUUUGUAGUUAACCUCCAUAUCUAAAUGUGGCCCAUCUGCCUGACUGCUCUGCUCUGGUCUCUGGUCCCUAUUCUUGCUCCCUUGUGGGCUGAGAGACUGCCGCUGAUGCAGUAAGUCUACAGCAAAUGUGAGAACCCGACUCUGGGAGUCAUCUCAUCAAAAUACCAUCCGGUGGACAUCACGUUUGACAAUGACUCAAUCACAUUGCAGCCUACUCCACAAGUCCACACCGCCUCCAAUGAGCAUCU